AGGUCCCACAAGCUGUGUUGUGUGGCCAAAAAAAAAAAGAAAACCGAAAAACAAACAAGAAAACCAAAUCAUUAAAAAGCAAGAAGAAAAAGAAGAGAGACAGAGACCCAAUGGGAGAUUCCACGUGACGACAGAGGCAGAGAAGGGAGUGAUGUUCCUACAAGCCCAGGAGGUCCGAGGAUUACAGUCAACCACCAGAAGCUACGAGAGAGGCAUGGAACAGAUUCUCCCUUCGAGCCUUCGCAGAGAUCAUGGUCCUGCAGACACUCUGAUUUCAGACUUCUGGCCUCCAGGACUACGAGACAAUAAGUUUCUGUUGUUUAAAGCCACCCAGUUUGUGGACAUUUUUUAGGGCAGCCUUAGCAAACGAGUACAACUACAAACUGGAAAUGGGGUUUGAACUUAAUGUUGAGACCAAUUAUGGAAAAGGAAAGACAAUUAGAUUUCUGUACCUGUCCCCAUAUUUUAUGUUAACUCAGGCAUUGAGCUCGUAUUAUAUUCCUUACAAAGGUAAGCUUUCAUGUCACCUUUGCAUCUGGGCGACCCUGAUGUGCUUCUCUCCAUGUAGCAGUUCCCCGAGUUUAUCUGCUCUCCUGGUUCUUGUGUCAUGAAGCUAGCCUGAAUUGGCUCAAGUCAGAAUUCGCACCAACUGAGGAAACAGAUACAGUUUACAACCAAGUAUACUUUGCAGUAAAACAACCAACAAAAGCAACAACCACAACAAACAGGUCAAGGUCUCACCAGGAAGGGAGUUAGUGAGUUACAGUGUUUUCUCAUACAAACGUGUACCAUCAGGGUCAAUCUGCUGGGGUGACUGAAGGGCUCCGGGGAGGCCUCCUCGGUCAGAUUGCUUGUACAGGUGUCUGAGAUCCAUCAUGUGGCAUCAUUCCUUUGCUUCUUGAAGGUGUCGUCCGUUUUACAAUUAAAGCACAAAUAUCUCCCAAGAAAGUUCAGCUCACAGCUUAAGCUCUUAGCAAUAGCUGGCAGAUUUUUGUUGUGUGAUUUCUGUCCUGGACCUAGAGGAGAGGUGAGGAAGGAACAAGGAAGGCCGUGGCCAGCUUCCCAGUGUGGCUGAGCGCGAGGUCAUCAUGAUCAUCAACAGGCAAUAUUCGAUGAGCAUCCAUGUCGUUAGGAUGACAAUUAACUUAGAAAGCAUGCACUAUAUUUUCAAAAUAGAAAGGAGUUCAUUAAUAAAACAAAGAGUCCUGUCUUCCCCAUAUGAUUGGUGGUGAGGCCCAUCUACUCUGGGUCAGCUGACCACUAGCUCUGUGACCAUGGCAGGCUGCUUCUCCUUUUUAAACCCCAAGUUAUGGCUCAUCUGUGAAAUGGGCUAAUAGUGUUACCUACCUCAUUAGGUGGUUACAAGAUGCAAGUGAAGUAAAUUAUCUAAAGCCCUGAUGCUAUUGCUUGGCGCAGGGUAAGUGCUCAAGAAACGUUAGUAUAUCAUCGAUCUGUGACUUUUCUCCCGUCAGGUUAGUGCGUGGUUGGGUUUCUUCGUGCAGUGCUGGUUUUGUGCUAAAAUCAUCUGCGUUGUUCCACAGAGUGGCCAGGGCUGUAUUAAUAUGAAUUCAGACAUCGGUGCGUCAAAGAGCAGUCAAGACCCCCAACGCUGGGCAGCGCCCGCACUGUGCCACUUAUUGUGUAUUUUUCCUGUUUGAAAAUAUGCUGAAGUAAAAGAAAGCGUCAGGAUAAGAGAAAUCCCGCAGCUGUUUUUAGCUUGUAAAACACUUAGAUAGAGCUUACUGUGUGCUUUACAAAUACAGACUCGUUUGAUCCCCCUACGAUUCCGUCAGGUAAAACCUAUUAUUAUCCUCAUUUUACACAGGAGGCGACGGCGACGCGGAGGGGUAAGUCAUUUCCUGGGGUCGCCAGGCUAGUGUAAGAAGGGGACGCUUCUCCUCCCAUUAUGUCUCUAUCCACGUUCCUUGAAAAUCUGUGCCAGUCAGAGCUUUGUGGACAUUUUCAGUGUGACCACAUCUGGGAUGAUGGAGGGUGAUCUGGCCAAAAAAGGAAGUGGAUUGAAUUUUUAGGGAAGGGGAGCCUCUGUGGACCAUGUACCAUCUUCUGGCAGGCAGAGGGUGAGGGCAAGAGUUGGCAUCCCUGAAGAGUUCUGACAGCCUUCUUUAUCUCCACCCGCAGGGGAAGAAGCCGAGCAGCCUGAGACAGUGAGGCAGUUAUCAGUCACCAGCUCCCUGAUGACAGAGGAGAGGAGAAAGGAGAUUUUCAGAACCCAGUUAUGUUAGACAUAUUAACAGAGGAAUCUAACGUGACAGAAGGAAAAAAAAGAGGAGAUUCUUGCCCCCGAGGGCUAAAGCAUUUAGUUGCCACAUCACUGAACUGGGCUUUGCAAAAGGAGCUGGUAGACGGAUGCGCUAACAGCAGGUCUCCACCACUACCCGUCAAUCACCUCUCUGUUCAGCUUGCCCCUGGGAUGAUGCUGGGGAGACACAGAAGUACCUCUAGCACUUCCUCGGGAUGGCUUGUUUCUCAUGACCUCAUCACAGUGAAAAGAAGAUGGAUUUCUCAACCACUUCCUCCUGCAGUAGGAGUUUGAAAAGUGCCGUGAAGUAGAUCGAGCAAGCUCCUGAAACAGCCGCUAAAAGAACCGUUUGUAUUCUGCCAAUGAUCUUCAGAAAGGAGAGAUGCAGCCUCCCUUGAAAAGGCUAUCCUCUGACUUCUCCAAAGUUAGCCUGACCCACUGGCAAAGAUGCCUGCCUACACUGGGGAGACGCUGGGCUGGAGUCAGUGUGGUCUUUGUCUGUUUACUGGAUCCUGGGGCACUGGGAGGGAGGCUGCAUGCAGCCUGUUAGUUCGGGGCCUGAAGUAAUAGGAAAGCACUUAGUGGAAGUAACCAGCGCUGGGAUCCUCCUUCUUGCCCCCAAACAAGCUGUAAAAGUGAAUUUGAGCUCCGUGGAGACAGGUAUUAAACGCAGUCAUUUUUUUUUUAAACAUUUUUAUUGGAGUAUAAUUGCUUUACAAUGGUGCGUUAGUUUCUGCUCUAUAACAAAGUGAA
Non-coding RNA from Delphinapterus leucas (beluga whale), 3013 nucleotides. The record is from RefSeq and is a predicted model, not a curated record. Lineage: Eukaryota; Metazoa; Chordata; Mammalia; Artiodactyla; Monodontidae.